RNAcentral lists this long non-coding RNA (238 nucleotides) under Mytilus galloprovincialis (Mediterranean mussel). Lineage: Eukaryota; Metazoa; Mollusca; Bivalvia; Mytilida; Mytilidae. The record is from RNAcentral.
GUGGACGAGGCGCGUUUUUAGCGUAUUAAAUUUUAAACCUGAUGCUUUUUGUUAUUCAUUAAUCAUGUGUUUCUUUGUCUAAUACGUUUUCCUAUUUAUUUGUAUUGUAGUCCUGUAAUAUUAUGUUGUCAUUUCUAUGUUAUAUUUAACAUUGCCAUUAAAGUGCGAGGUUUGGCAUGCCACAAAACCAGGUUCAACCCACCAUUUUUUCCUUUAAAAAUGUCCUGUACCAAGUCAG